This 484-nucleotide ribosomal RNA is filed under the name uncultured bacterium. RNAcentral describes it as "partial 16S ribosomal RNA". It matches the Rfam family "Bacterial small subunit ribosomal RNA", at positions 30 to 507 of the family's 1533-position model. The record is from RNAcentral.
AUUGAACGCUGGCGGCAGGCCUAACACAUGCAAGUCGAGCGGAUGAAGGGAGCUUGCUCCUGGAGUCAGCGGCGGACGGGUGAGUAAUGCCUAGGAAUCUGCCUGGUAGUGGGGGAUAACGUCCUGAAACGGGCGCUAAUACCGCAGACGUCCUGCGGGAGCAAGUGGGGGAUCUUCGGACCUCACGCUAUCAGAUGAGCCUAGGUCGGAUUAGCUAGUUGGUGGGGUAAAGGCCUACCAAGGCGACGAUCCGUAACUGGUCUGAGAGGAUGAUCAGUCACACUGGAACUGGGACACGGUCCUGACUCCUACGGGAGGCAGCAGUGGGGAAUAUUGGACAACGGGCGAAAGCCUGAUCCAGCCAUGCCGAGUGUGUGAAGAAGGUCUUCGGAUUGUAAAGCACGUUAAGUUGGGAGGAAGCGCAGUAAGUUAAUACCUUGCUGUUUUGACGUUACCAACAGAAUAAGCACCGGCUAACUUCGUG